AACCAAGUUGAGCCUAGUUCUGGGCUGCUUCCCUGUUCUGGUAAUUAAACUUUGGGACAUUAAGGACAUGGGCUAGGAGAUAUUUCUCUAUUCAUUUCCCUCCUGGCCUACCAGG
This 115-nucleotide small nucleolar RNA is filed under the name Sorex araneus (European shrew). Lineage: Eukaryota; Metazoa; Chordata; Mammalia; Eulipotyphla; Soricidae. The record is from RNAcentral.